UACAGAGGUCUCAAGCGUUGUUCGGAUUCAUUGGGCGUAAAGGGUGCGUAGGUGGCGCUGUAAGUCAGGUGUGAAAUUUCGGAGCUUAACUCCGAAACUGCAUUUGAUACUGCGGUGCUUGAGGACUGGAGAGGAGACUGGAAUUUACGGUGUAGCAGUGAAAUGCGUAGAGAUCGUAAGGAAGACCGGUGGCGAAGGCGGGUCUCUGGACAGUUCCUGACACUGAGGCACGAAGGCCAGGGGAGCAAACGGG
RNAcentral lists this ribosomal RNA (253 nucleotides) under uncultured bacterium. RNAcentral describes it as "partial 16S ribosomal RNA". It matches the Rfam family "Bacterial small subunit ribosomal RNA", at positions 524 to 776 of the family's 1533-position model. The record is from RNAcentral.